Molecule: ribosomal RNA, 284 nt
Filed under: uncultured bacterium
Lineage: Bacteria
Description: partial 16S ribosomal RNA
Rfam family: Bacterial small subunit ribosomal RNA
Source: RNAcentral
UGGCUCAGAACGAACGCUGGCGGCAUGCUUUACACAUGCAAGUCGAACGGCAGCACGGACUUCGGUCUGGUGGCGAGUGGCGAACGGGUGAGUAAUAUAUCGGAACGUGCCCAGUCGUGGGGGAUAACGUAGUGAAAAUUACGCUAAUACCGCAUACGAUCUAUGGAUGAAAGCGGGGGAUCGCAAGACCUCGCGCGAUUGGAGCGGCCGAUAUCAGAUUAGGUAGUUGUGAUUAAAGGCUCACGGGAAAACGAUCUGUAGCUGGUCUGAGAGGACGACCAGCC